GGGCCAUUAGCUCAGGAGGCAGAGCACCUGACUUUUAAUCAGGGUGUCCGGCGUUCGAGUCGCCGAUGG
This 69-nucleotide transfer RNA is filed under the name Bacillota bacterium. RNAcentral describes it as "tRNA-Lys". It matches the Rfam family "tRNA". From Rfam's summary of the family: Transfer RNA (tRNA) molecules are approximately 80 nucleotides in length. Their secondary structure includes four short double-helical elements and three loops (D, anti-codon, and T loops). Lineage: Bacteria; Bacillati; Bacillota. The record is from RNAcentral.